UUCAACGUGACGGGCGUCCUGCUAUACCAAAACGCACUCAACAAGAGCAACUGCUGCAUUGGCAGCGAAAUAGGAGGAUGCUUGCUUAUUCUACUGCUGGCACACCUGAUUAUAUCGCUCCCGAAGUUUUGCUGAAGAAGGGAUACUGUUGGUGCACUUACGUCUGCUGACUACGUCUUCCAUCGAGUCUUGAAGUUGAACAGAUCGGACAUGGCACGGAAACCUAGAAAUACAUGUUUGUAUAGGGUUCGCUUAUCAGUCACUAGGUUUGGUCCGCUUUUGUGUCAUGUUUAAGUUAGGAUCGCUCAUGUGUCACGAUGUAGGACCGCUUAUACGUACAUGUACGUAUAAGCGAACCAGGAUGUCUAUAAAUAGGUCCAUAUGAGCGAGUCUGAAACACAUAGUUGAAGGUGUUUGUUUCGGUAUGCUGCCGAAGUGCUGUCAAAUCUUGUAAUCGUGCAUUUGAUCAAUAAUACAGCAAUAUUAAAGUGAAUAC
Molecule: long non-coding RNA, 496 nt
Filed under: Helianthus annuus (common sunflower)
Lineage: Eukaryota; Viridiplantae; Streptophyta; Magnoliopsida; Asterales; Asteraceae
Description: hypothetical non coding rna
Source: RNAcentral